UAUUAUGCCAGAUUUAAACCACUGGGCCUU
This 30-nucleotide non-coding RNA is filed under the name Mus musculus (house mouse). The record is from RNAcentral. Lineage: Eukaryota; Metazoa; Chordata; Mammalia; Rodentia; Muridae.